This 493-nucleotide ribosomal RNA is filed under the name uncultured bacterium. RNAcentral's name for it is "partial 16S ribosomal RNA". It matches the Rfam family "Bacterial small subunit ribosomal RNA", at positions 29 to 508 of the family's 1533-position model. The record is from RNAcentral.
AGUGAACGCUGGCGGUAGGCCUAACACAUGCAAGUCGAACGGCAGCACAGUAAGAGCUUGCUCUUACGGGUGGCGAGUGGCGGACGGGUGAGGAAUACAUCGGAAUCUACUUUUUCGUGGGGGAUAACGUAGGGAAACUUACGCUAAUACCGCAUACGACCUACGGGUGAAAGCAGGGGAUCUUCGGACCUUGCGCGAUUGAAUGAGCCGAUGUCGGAUUAGCUAGUUGGCGGGGUAAAGGCCCACCAAGGCGACGAUCCGUAGCUGGUCUGAGAGGAUGAUCAGCCACACUGGAACUGAGACACGGUCCAGACUCCUACGGGGGGCAGCAGUGGGGAAUAUUGGACAAUGGGCGCAAGCCUGAUCCAGCCAUACCGCGUGGGUGAAGAAGGCCUUCGGGUUGUAAAGCCCUUUUGUUGGGAAAGAAAAGCAGCAGGUUAAUACCCCGCUGUUCUGACGGUACCCAAAGAAUAAGCACCGGCUAACUUCGUGC